RNAcentral lists this ribosomal RNA (914 nucleotides) under Zoanthus pulchellus. Its description in RNAcentral is "partial 12S ribosomal RNA". It matches the Rfam family "Bacterial small subunit ribosomal RNA", at positions 335 to 1484 of the family's 1533-position model. Lineage: Eukaryota; Metazoa; Cnidaria; Anthozoa; Zoantharia; Zoanthidae. The record is from RNAcentral.
CUCAUUAAGUCCGUCAGGGACGAGGCAGCAGUAGAGAAUAUUGUGCAAUAUACGGCAGUAUGACACAGAGAGCACACGCCCUCUUGGCCUGUCCAACUAAGUGCCAGCAGACGCGGUUAGACUUAGGGGCCAAGCCUUUAUGAGCAAAGGGGCGUAAAGGGUGUGUAGGCCGACUGCCCCACCCCCCAAGGUGGUAAAUGGAAUUUUUCUGUAGCGGUAGAAUGUGCGGAUAGAAAAUAGAACUCCAAAAGCUGAAGCAAUUUACCGCGGGGUGGGAGGGGGGCCCCCUGGGGCGCCCCCCGGGCUACGGGCUGAAACACGAGGGUGUGGGGAACAAACAGGAUUAGAGACCCUGGUAGUCCACACUGUAAACGAUGGAGAAAAUGCGAAUGCAGUCCCGAAAGGCAGCAAUCUCCCGCCUGAGUAGUACGAUCGCAAGAUUAAAAUUCAAAAAAUUUGGCUGUUCACCGUUUCAAUUAGAGGAGCGUGUAGUUUAAUUCGAUAAACCGCGAGAUACCUUACCCAAACUUGAAUCCUUGAGGAUUCUAAGGAAUCCUUAUGGACCGGUAUUGCAUGGCCGUCGUCAGUUCGUGUAUGAAACUUAAAACGGACCCAACCCGAAGAUUAACCGCGGAUGAAGUCAGGUCUUAUGGUCCCAAUGUUUGGGGAUAAUAUGCGCUACAUUUUCUUAUACAAUGGGAAACCUGGGAGGUGAAACCCCAAAGUGAGAGUUCGGUAGGCUAUUGGAAGAUGGCCGAAAGUUGAAUUUAAUAGUAAUCGGAAAGUAUAGCGUUCCGGUGAAAUGGUCUAGGUGUUAGCACAAAUCGCCCGUCACCUUAACUUAGGAUGAUGGUUCGGACGCCGCCGCGCCCCCACGGGCCCCGGCGGUUACGGGCCCCUACGAAGUUAAGCAA